RNAcentral lists this ribosomal RNA (2405 nucleotides) under Triticum aestivum (bread wheat). Its description in RNAcentral is "partial small subunit ribosomal RNA". Lineage: Eukaryota; Viridiplantae; Streptophyta; Magnoliopsida; Poales; Poaceae. The record is from RNAcentral.
AUGUUGUGCUUAAACACAUUGAAAUAUGGAACAUAGAACCACACACGUAUAGAACAGAAGUAAGGUUAAGAAAUAUCUAAGCUCCAAAACAUAGGUACAUCUUACGGACGGUUACCGGACUUAUAAAGUUCAGUCUAACGUACAAAACGAACACUUUGAACGUAGUACAAAUGAGAGAAGAACCGUUUGUUCUUGAUGUCACGUCAUGUUCUUUCCACUUAUGGGUAACGAAAUACAAUUAAAGAAUAAAAAAGGACGUCUGUGGUAACACACUGACUUCAAGGACAAAACAAAUUGAGGGGGCUUUAUGGUCCACUUUCUUUGGUGAGUUAGAGUAACGUAUAACACAUAAGAAAAUCAGAACUGACUACAAAUUUACCAUUAAUAAGAGAUCUAGAAUAAGAUAUUCAUGUUGAGUAUAAAAUAGAGAAUGGAAAAAACCGCCUCCAACAUCCAGUACUCGAACCGGCCGCGUUCUUAUUUGAAGCGUCCAUUCAAGUCUAGUGUCCUUAAUUUAUUCCAGAUACACGGCAUAAUUGUGGGUUCAUAUACAUAACUGUAGCGAAUAUUAAAUAGUCUAUGGCUCUCUACUUGUAGCGAAGUACUUGUACCACUUAAAUCACUGUUGAUUUCAUUUAGGUAUCCGGGUCGAAACUCAGACAUAGUCUUGAUGGCGUAAGACGUAACAUAACGAUGUUCGACAGUUAAUAUCGCGUGUCUAGUCAUGAUUCAGGUUCGGGACUCGAGGAACAAAAAAAAGGAGGGCUUCGUGAAACAGUGACAUUGUUUUAUGUGGUCCAGCGCUACCGACUGCUUCUCUAGAGCCAAAUACCGAGCGAUCCAAGUCGAUCAAGGUGAUUGUCGACAGAGGCUCGUGAACGUAUCCAGUCGACUAUAUGCAGUGCAGGGGAGAAACCAAAAUGAUCUGACGACGUUUUUAUACUAGUCACACUGAGGCGUUAAAAAUAUUAGUUUCCUUCAUGAGUGUAUACAUUUGUGACUAUAUCCCAAACAUCUACGAAUCUCUAUCGUCAUUUACUCAUCAUUAUAAAACUAGGUCUGUCACACUACUAAAUUUGAGACAAAAGAUAUACUGGAAGUACAUCAACUAACGAAACAAAAGUGAUAACGAUGACGUACUAAACAAGUCUCUCUCAACGGUUGACUCGAAUAUAAAAACAAUUGAAUGACUUACUAUUGGUCUGAUUGGAACGGUAGACAAAAAACAGCUUUCUUGAACUUAACAAAAGACUUGAACGUGAUUUAUACAAGUACAAACACAAGGUUAACCUACAAAAAAAAACCAUUGACUAUAAACUAAGGUCUAAUAGAUAAAAAAAAUUCAUCAUGUACAAGUACAAACGUAUAGUCAACCUUCGGUUUUUAUAAAGACAAUUUCAUGACGUUCUAUUGGUCUGAGUGGAAACGUAUAUGUAAAACAAGUUUUUUUACUUAGUACGUGACCUGAACGUGAUUAAUACAAGUACAAACACAAAGGCACCCUUCGUUUUAAGUAAAGACCAUUUAAUUACGUUCCAUUGUUCUGAGUGGAAACGUAUAUAUAAAAUCAACUUUCUCUUAACUUGGUAUAUACAACACAUGGCUAUUUCAAUAUAUAACCAAGGAAGACAACGAAAUAAAUCGAAGAUAACCAACACAAAGAGUGCUUUUGAUUGAAUACAACUCAAAGAUAACCAAUACAGAGACAGGUCCAACUCAACUCGUAUACAUACGGAUGGAGUCAGCUACUCCAAAGAGAUGGAAGCGAGAUACUGCGUCUAACUAAAGAAAAGAUCCGAAAAUGACAUAGUACACCGACAUGGUAACAACGUACAGAGAUUAACAAAUACAACGACUUUAGUGUUGGUGAUUAUGAUACAACAACUAUCUAUCUUCUAAAAUCUUCGCGUAACAAAGUCUUAAUUCUUUAAAUACAGAGACUAUACCUUCAUACAUAAUACAACAACAACGGUUCUAGAUCGUAAGAUUAACAACUAGGAAAAGAUCUCUUAUUCUAGGGUACCAGUAAAUACAACAGUGACGCAUCCGCUUUUAUUAAUACACACCAAAGUACCUGAGAAUGGAAUAACUACCCGUGGUACGUCUCAAACUCCUCUACAUCCGGUCGCACACUGGAGAGAGCGAAAAGUUCAGUGGCGACUCGGCGGAAGAAACGAAGUCUCCGAAGAACACAGUGGUAUCCAAACACUAAGAAUAGACAAUGGGAAACAUCCGGUACAUCUUAUGAUUCUAUUUUAUUAAAAUUAAAAUAGAAAAUAUAAGAAAAUACAAUUUCUCCGAUGUGACAUAGGUCUAGUGACAUAUAAUAGGUCUCACUAAGAGGAAGUAUAUCUGGUCUAAUAAAAGAGGGACAGGUACUCUGCGUGAUAAACUUAUCUAACGGA